This 804-nucleotide ribosomal RNA is filed under the name uncultured bacterium. RNAcentral describes it as "bacterial SSU rRNA". It matches the Rfam family "Bacterial small subunit ribosomal RNA", at positions 8 to 810 of the family's 1533-position model. The record is from RNAcentral.
AGAGUUUGAUCCUGGCUCAGGAUGAACGCUGGCGGCGUGCUUAACACAUGCAAGUCGAACGAAGCACUUUAAUUGAUUUCUUCGGAAUGAAGUUUUUGUGACUGAGUGGCGGACGGGUGAGUAACGCGUGGGUAACCUGCCUCAUACAGGGGGAUAACAGUUGGAAACGACUGCUAAUACCGCAUAAGCGCACAGGAUUGCAUGAUCCAGUGUGAAAAACUCCGGUGGUAUGAGAUGGACCCGCGUCUGAUUAGCCAGUUGGCGGGGUAACGGCCCCACCAAAGCGACGAUCAGUAGCCGACCUGAGAGGGUGACCGGCCACAUUGGGACUGAGACACGGCCCAAACUCCUACGGGAGGCAGCAGUGGGGAAUAUUGCACAAUGGGGGAAACCCUGAUGCAGCGACGCCGCGUGAGCGAAGAAGUAUUUCGGUACGUAAAGCUCUAUCAGCAGGGAAGAAGAAUGACGGUACCUGACUAAGAAGCACCGGCUAAAUACGUGCCAGCAGCCGCGGUAAUACGUAUGGUGCAAGCGUUAUCCGGAUUUACUGGGUGUAAAGGGAGCGCAGGCGGUACGGCAAGUCUGAUGUGAAAUCCCGGGGCUCAACCCCGGUACUGCAUUGGAAACUGUCGGACUAGAGUGUCGGAGGGGUAAGUGGAAUUCCUAGUGUAGCGGUGAAAUGCGUAGAUAUUAGGAGGAACACCAGUGGCGAAGGCGGCUUACUGGACGAUUACUGACGCUGAGGCUCGAAAGCGUGGGGAGCAAACAGGAUUAGAUACCCUGGUAGUCCACGCCGUAAACGAU